UACGUAGGUCCCGAACGUUGCGCGAAUUUACUGGGCGUAAAGGGUACGUAGGCGGUUUAGCAAGUGGUUGGUGAAAUUUCACGGCUCAACCGUGAAACUGCCUUCCAAACUGCUAAACUUGAGGCAGGGAGAAGUCGGCGGAAUUCACGGUGUAGCGGUGAAAUGCGUAGAUAUCGGGAGGAACACCAGUUGCGAAGGCGGCCGACUGGAAAUGUCCUGACGCUGAGGGACGAAAGCUAGGGGAGCAAACCGG
Molecule: ribosomal RNA, 253 nt
Filed under: uncultured bacterium
Lineage: Bacteria
Description: partial 16S ribosomal RNA
Rfam family: Bacterial small subunit ribosomal RNA
Source: RNAcentral